This is a long non-coding RNA of Tympanuchus pallidicinctus (lesser prairie-chicken), 8242 nucleotides long. RefSeq lists it as uncharacterized. The record is from RefSeq and is a predicted model, not a curated record. The transcript has 3 exons. NCBI's taxonomy places the organism in Eukaryota, Metazoa, Chordata, Aves, Galliformes, Phasianidae.
CUUCUUUUGUGCCCUGAACUUUGUGCUGUAGACUAAAAAGUGGACUUAUGCAUCCAGAAUGCUGAACAUGUGCCUCCUGAAAAAUGUUUGUGUUUUAAGAUGGUAUAAAUGUACACUUUGACAUACUAGCAGAUCUGAUAAGCUUUGAGAGAAAAUAGCAUCAUCUGCUGCUAUUACAUGAGGAACUGGUGUGUUAUUGAAGAGAAGUCAUUCCAUAGUAUCCAUAAUACUUUGGCGGCUAUGGUUGCUUAGAUGAAGGAAUCAAACUUCAGUGAAACAAAUUGAGCAUAGUCAUAAAUGGAAAUUCAGUAAUAAAUGUCCCUGUGGAACACAGACUGCCCACAAAAGCAUUUUAUUGCUUAAUUCACAGGGUGAAAGGAUACAUUUGUUUUCAAAUAUAGUUGUUAGUUGUAAAAGCUGUGGCUUGGGACAAAGAAGUUGUUUUUUUGGUGAAAUGUGUGUAUAAUCUUUCAUACACAUUCAUUGUGUUUUAAGCCCCAAGGUCAGAAUUCAGAACCUGGCAAUUCCUGUAAGAAUGAGAAACUGAUGAUAGAAAUGAAAUGUAUUUUUGGGGCAGUUUUGCAGCCAUGUGCUUUAUUUUACAGAGCAAGUAUGCAAUUUUACUUUGACAAACACAGGCAAAAGUCACCGGAGCUUUUCCUUCUUUCCCCCCCACCCCUUUCUUUCCCUUUUUCUCUCUUUUUUUUUUUCCCUUUCUUUCUUAUUUUUCCAAAUGAUUAUACCUGCAAAUAGCAUUCAAAAAAGGUUUCAUCCUCCCAAUGUCAGUACACAGCAUUCCUCUUUGCUCUCACAUUCCCUUUACUUGCAUUAUCCCAGAUCAUCUUUCUCUAUUUGUCUACAAUUAGGAAAACAAACCAAACCAAACCAAAACAAACAAAAAAAGAAAAAAACCCAACAACAAAACACCCAUCCUUUAGAUUCAGCUCUACACAGUCCCCAAGCAUUCUGUUCUGCACUGAACAUCUUGGACUGUCACUCCUAUUGUGUGCUAAUGUUUUAAACACCUGGUUGCCCCUGUUUUUGAGCCAUAAAGUCUUAAUGUAUGUGCCUGCUUCCAUGAAGCCUGUGAAGACUGUUUCUUGAUUCAUCCUUUCCUUAUACCUGUUAGAGUUUGCAUCGUAUCCAUAUACACACAUACCCAUAUUUUAGAAAGGAUGGAGCUGCUUUUUGUCGCUCCUUAAUCCUUUGUCAAAGGGCAGAAAACACAGUGUUUUUCUGUGUGAGCUGGAUGGACAUCAGAGAUUCUUCUCUUUCUUUGGGCCCCACUGCUUUGAAACAUUUUAAAGAGCUGGAAAGGGUGUAGUUAUAGCUUUAAAACAAUGAACUUUGCACAUUACUGCAAUAAAUGGUUCUCCUUUUUAUUCUGUGGUCCAGGUUGAGAUAAUACACAGAAGUAAAAAAAAAAAAAAAAAGUCUGGAUGUCUUUUAAUUUAUUGUCUCCUGACUUUUUUUCCUCCCUGUAAUUUAUUUUUGGAGUCUGGGAAGAAAAGCAUGCCAAAAAGGCCCAGUGUAUUGAUGUGUGAAAUUGAAGGAGUUGAUGAUUCUUAUGAUCCGCACACCAUGCCCUUUGACAAGGUUAACAUAAAAAGAAUCAUACUGGAAAACACACACUUAAAUAUGAAGAAUUCCUUAAAUUCAGGGUGUGUUCAUACAAAGGGAAAUUUUUACAGUGUGGAAAGCAUUAAACCUGAUCCAGAAAAAAUGUUAGGUGCCCCAGCCAUUGAGAUGUGAAUCUCUUUAAUCCAUGCAAGCAUUAGAAAAAUCUGAAACACGUGAAAGUUCAAAAGCUGCAAAGCCAUUACAUGACUCCUUAUUCAUUUCUCAAAUAUUGUGACUUUCUAUUGAACUGUGAAAAGGCUUCUUCUUGUAUUUUUUUUUCUUCCCUUUUCGUAAGCAAUAUAUCAGUCACUCAGUGAUGUGUUAUUCCACAUUGUGAAGCUGAAAGUGAGUUUUGUUUAGUUGUGCCUACUUGGGUAUAAAUCUUUGAUUUAUUUCAGAGCGUUUAUGUAGCAUUUCAGAACUUGGUCACUUGCACCUUUUCAGCAUUUGCUGUUGAAGAAGGGGAAAAAAGCAAGAAUUAGUAGAAUGUCAGUGUGUUUUUUUUUAAGAUGUCUUAGAUUUUGCUGAGACAAGCUAGAGAUUGCUGCUACGGAGCAGUGUCUGAAAAAUGUCUUUUUAUGUAGGACAACAAAAUUAAGGGAGAGCAGAAGGUUUCACAUUAGUUUGUGAAAAUGGAAACUUAUUUUUAUCAGUGAAACUCCUGUGAGAAGAUCAUGUAGUGACAGAGAGCCAUUGGUGCUGGGUUUUUUGUUUUGUUUUUUUUGUUUUUUUUUUAAUGAUAGCAACUGCAGAAUCUGAUGGAGACUUCUCAUGUCUCUCCUCCUCCCCAUACUCCAUCCCCCUUCACCCUCAAAAAAAGAAGUCUUAAAAAGACAGAGAGGCCUGUCUUCUACAUGAAAAUAGCUGUCAACCUGAAUUUCACUGACUUGCCAGAAGAUGUAUCAAAGAGUGGAGGUAAUUUCUCAGCUAAUUUCUGUGUCUCCUGAGAAGACCACACUCUCAAGUGAUGGACAUCAUUUAGAGUUUGUAACCUAAAGAAAACAAAUGACUCAGACCGCUGCCGUGGCCCAAAGAGCUUAAAAGUAAAUAUGAGAUAAGGACUAGCUGUAGUCAUGCUGUCCUCUGCUGCCAAGGCAUCGCAGCAAAACAAAGGCUUAUUGAUCAAAAAGGUCAUGCAAAAGAGGAUAGGGCUUAAAGAAACUAUAUUAAAUUUUCUUUUUUAAAGAGUUGAAUGCAAAAAUAGUAACCCAAAGAUGGAGUUCUGUGUGUCAGGCAUUUCUCACAUGCAUUCUUUUAUUUGUCUGCACAAAUAAAGUGAAUAUCUAUAAUUCUUUAGUUUCAUGGAAUGACUUCCUACCAUAGUCUUGAAAUAGCAAAUGUGUCCCUCUGAUUUAAAUGGAGAAUGUGACAGCAGAAAAUGCAGUACUGUGCUUGCGUCUUCCACUUGAUGCUAUUGUGCUCUUCAUGUCUAGUAGGGAUGUGGAAGGCUGCUCACAUAUUGUGGUAGGCAGUGGCUACUGAUCUAUUACUGUGAUACGUAAUCCUUCUCAAGGAUUUGAAGCAAAUACCUGAUGCUGACUUCAUUUCCUAGGUGAAGAAAGCUUUUUUCUUACGUGUCCAGUGAAGGUUGUAUGGGAAAGGAAGCAAUACUUGCUAUCCAGGAUCCACAAGUUGUCAAACUUUCGUAUCAUGAAAAAUAGAAACAAAGGACAAAUUUCCAUUGUGAGACUCCUGGAAAAAGAUGAUGAAACACAGAGGUUCCUAGUGUCAUUGACUGACAACAAUCUGCUAAGUGAUGUUUAUGUUUUAGGGGCAAGGGAAAAAAGAACAUUCACUGUGAAUGACAACUGCCCGUCUCAUGUUGCCAUUAUCUAUGAAUAAAGAAAAAAGGCCCAUUAUGUUAUGUCUAACUAGAAAGAAACUUAACAAAGAAACACACUGUUGUGUUAAGGAGAGGAAGGAGAGCUUAGUGGCUAGGGCACGGGAGAUGUUGAUUCACAUUUCUGGCUCUGGAAGAGCUUUCCUCUGUGACCUUGAGCCACUUGUGUAUUGCCUCACUCUAAAAUGGCAACAGUACCCAAAGCAGGAGAGAUAUGGGUGCUGGGAUGAGAGAAAGACCUUUUGAAAAACUGCCAUAAAAAUAGGAGCUACAUAAUUUGGACCCUUUUCAUUUAUUUAUUUUUUCUCUCUCUCUCUUUUUUUUAAUUGUUGGGGUAAUGUUAAAUAUUAAUACUUUAAUAUUAAUAAUAAAUAAUAAGCCUAGUAAUAUUAAAACUGGAUUUGCUUCUUACAGAAUGAGAAGACAGUUUGGGCCACAGUCAGAAUUUGAUCAAGACUUGGGAAUUUUGAAGUUCAAGCUUGUGGGUUAAAUGCAUCUCUACCCAGAAUAAGAUUACAGUCUGUGAUGAAGUAUGUUUUCAAUUAUGCUCUGUUAGAAAAGUAAUGUGAAAUUUAUCUCAAGUUGUCACGGUGCUUCAAAGCAUGGGCUUUUCUCUUUCUAAGUCCUUGAACAAAUGCAGGAUGUGUUGAGGCAAAACUGUUUCCAAUUAAGUUGAUGCAUAACGCUCUUUAAUGUUUCAGGACUUCAAGUUUAACUUAAAGAAAAAUCCUUUAGCCGGAGUUCAGAAGGAUAAUUCAGAUAAAAUUUCCUGGAAAGCAGUCAUUUGCCUGAACUCGUGUGGCUGCACAAUGUCGGGAGCUCAGUUAGCACAGUGUGACACUUAGCUAUCAAUCUCAUCAGAACCAUGCUGACAAAUGGAAGGAUCCAACUCUGUGUUACAUCACUGCAUUUUUAUGCUGUAUUGAAGAACCAACUUCGGCUCCCUUGUCGAGUAAGGGGCACUUAAAGCACAGACUGCAUUAAGAGAAAUAAAAGUGAUUCCAGGAAGUGGCCGUGCUGUUUGCAUCCGCUAUAAAUUUUUUGUUGCCUUAAGUGUGUGUUGUUCAGAAGAAUGAGUUUCUGGUGUUCCAAGGGUUGUUUUUUUCUGCCCAGCUGAAGCAUCCCUGUUCAUCACUCAUCAUUCUGUGGAGUGCUAGCCUGAAAACUUAUGUCAUGCUGAAGAUUAACAAGGGAUUAAGAGUGAGCAAUGGAUUUUCCAGUAAAUACAACUGCAGAUCUUUGGCCUGUGCCACAUGUCAAAUAAGGAUAAGAACUUUCCCCUUGGAAGUCAGUUUUCCAAUUUAAAUGGAGCAGGUGUUGGCCCCAGGGAGUUGGUUUGGGAAAGUCUAAUUUUUUUUUAUUUUCAUGCAAUGUUACUGGGUCAGGAAUCCUGGUUAGACAUUACUUGAAAGUCUGUGUUACUUGACUGGCUGUCUCAGGCUCAAAAAAAAAAGAAGUUUCUUUUUUCAUUUCCCCCUCAAAAAAGCACAAAGAACCCUCUUAUGUACAUCAAACUACUUGUUCAGUUGCUAUUUAUUUAAGUUUUCAUCUUGAACUGUGAACUGAUAUACUUUGUACAGCAUUGCAUGUCUCAAAAGUCUUUGCAUAGUGCAUAGCCUUAUUGUUUUCUAUUUGAUUACCUUUUUAGUCCUUUUUCCACUGACAAGUGUUCCUUAACUGUUGCUAAAAUGUUGAGAUGAUGUAGAUACCUGCCCAAGGAAAAUUUUAUUGUUGGAGAAAGUAUGGUGAGAUGACAGUUUUUAACCAGCAAAACAGAAAUUUUAAUGAAAACACUGAUUUUCUUUUUGAAAAUUAUGAAUGCAUAAUUCAUAUGUUUAGGGAGAAAUCAUUAGGCAUUACUUCAUUUAGAAUGUCACUGUAUUUGUGAGGAGAGAAAUGCUGAAACCAAAUGAAAGAGACUUUUCUUUGCUAAAUGAGAACUUUCAUGACAAAUUUUCCUACUACAGAAUCACUGCAUGUUAAGAAAAAGAGGAUGUUUUGAAGAAUACUUUCCCCAUCCCCAUUUAUUUUUUAACAGUAGAUGUUGUUUGUUUGAUUUGUUUUGUUUUAUAUCUGCAAAGAAAUGGGAAAUGUAAAAAAAAGGCAUUUGUUCAGGUAUAUUCCAAGGUUUAUGAUCUUUUUGGGAAUAUUACCUGCUUGUAAGAAGGUUUAGAAAAGAUAUAUACACAAAUCUCUUGCAUAUUUCUUACACAAAUGUAUAUACGUUUGUACAGUUGAAAAGUGGUGCACUUUGUAGUUUAUAGAAAAAGAAAUGAGUCUCAGCUAACAGAUUAUAUUAAUAUAGAUGAACUAACUAUAAAAUGAUUUGCCUCAUUCAAAGAAGCUUUUGAGUGCUGCCUCUUUCUUCGAUAUGUCUAUGAUGUUGAAGGCUGAGUUCACAUCCUGUUUGCCCUGGCUACACUUAAAUGUAAAAAAAAAAAGUCUUGCUGAUGUGGUUUAAGGCUAAAACUCCAUCAAAAGCAUCUUUCAUUGCAUGCUGAGCGCUCAGGAGAGCACAUGGUGUUUCUUCGCCAUCUCUCUGUGUUGUGUGUGUUCAAGAGUAUAGAUCCAUCAAUCUACAGCUUCGCUCCACUCUUUUGUCCCCAGUCGGAUUUAUGCUGUGACAUUAGCUAUAUAACAUUACCCUUAAUUUAGGCUGAAGCAGCACUCUUAAUCCCUUUGAUAGAGGCAAUACCAGAUAUGUAAUGCUUUGAUACCAAGGUGAUGUGCAUGGUAUAAAUAAUUACACAAAUACCUUUAGCCUCCCAGAGUUGCAGAGAAACUCUGUUUUGUUUUUUGUUUUCUUUUCUUUUCUUUUUGGUAUUUUUUUUUUUGUAAGUAAUGAUUUGUAUGCUGCAGAGUUGUCUAGGGGACAGAAAAUAUCUUUAUUGAACAGUGCUGCUAUCCACCACUAUAUUAAAAAAGCUUCAAGAUUUGCUAUUAUAUGAGCCUGUGUGUGUCAUAUAUUCACAUAAGUCCUACUUUCUUAGAUGGAAUCUCAAGUGAAAAUAAAAAUAAAUGGAUAUCCUAAAGUCUUUGCAAACCAUUUGUGAUGCUUUUACUUUACAUUUUUUUCAUGGUGACAUCCAUCGGAAUCUAAUCUCUUAAUAAACUCAGGCUAUACAUUGCACUCUCUUCCUUCAUGUGGCCCUUGAGAGACAAUUUUCUAAUACAGUGAAGAUGAUAAAGAAAAGAGCCUUUUUUAUUUUCUUACUUCAGUGCAAGAGGGACACAGAAGAAGAAAUUCCUUGUGAGUAGCAUAAAAGCCACUUUAAGGAACUGUUGAGCUGUUUAUUGCAUUACCUUUGACAUUAAUAUCUAUGAUCUCUAUUGCAUGGGUCUCAAGAAGAUCCUAUGCACGUCCAAUAAAUUCAAGUACUUUUUGUCUUAUUAAGUUUUAGUACAUGUGCUGUAGUUACAGGAUAUUGGAACAUCCAGAUGGUUCUGAGGUUUUAGUUAGGCUUCCAAAGGCUUGAAGACUUUUUUGAGCUGUAUGAACUAUGGUUGUCUGUGACAUCAGGCUGGAAAUCUCCCAGGAAUGGCUCCUUGGAAAGAUUAUUGUUAUUUCAAUUUUCUAACUAAAGAAAGAGCCUAUUCUAAUGUAUGAAUAUUGGUCCAAUCCUGCAAACCAUUUACAGUACUUUCAAACUUGAAGUCAGCAAAGAUAGUGCAAUAAAGUAUAUCAAUAUAUGACAGGAAUUAUUGCUACCUUAGCAAAAGAGUGAAAAGUAAGACAGAAAAACGGUAUUAUAUUCCACUCUUUUUAUACUCCUGUUUCUUACUUACUUGAAUUAUAAGUAAACAGAGUGGGACCUUGUUGCAGAGGCACUUUUUUUGUGCCAUGUUAGGGUACUGUGACGGUGGCCUGGUUGAUGACUGUGGGUCCAUGUAUUCUGAUAAUACUGUGAAAAUGCAAUAAGCUUCACUAAUUCCUGAUACAUUUAACACUGAAUUCUGCAGGGAGGUAGUCAGCUUGAUAGUGGGGAAAAAAAAAUCCGUCAGUGAAUAGGAAUAUGUUUACAGUUACUCAUUUAGCACAUAAACUAAUUCCUAAUAAUUGAAUGUACAUGUAUGUUGUGUAUUCUGUAUUCUGCAAGCUCCUUUGCAGCAUGUGGUGUCUGAUACAAACGAUAUGAGCUUCAUAGUUUCUUUGACAUGUUAGAGUGAGAGCUCUUUGCAUUUCUGAUGACUCACAUUGUCACUUGUGAUUUAAUAAUUGAUCUGUACUCUUCAGUGUAAUGAAGCCUGUAAUUUAUUAAAAGACGAAAAGUGUUCCCAUAAUUAGUGUGCUGAUAUUUGACAGGAAAAGUGAAUUUUUGAGGUACUGCUUCUAUAAAAUCUUGUUGGUAAAUGCAAUUCGUUGUUAUGCUUGUUGAAGCACUUUUUGAUAGCUGUCUGGAUAAAAUAGGGAUACAUAUUUGCAGUGAACUUGAACGAGUUUUGUCUAGUGUCUCUGCCAUCACUUUUGAAAUGGUUGUGAAAUGUACGAGUUUCCUGUGAAGGUCCAAGACACUUCCUCAGGACUUUUAGUGAGGCUCAGUGUCGGUUGAUAAGAAAUGAACAUUCAUCUCUGUAAGUCUGUUCUUGAGCCAAUGACCAAAUGUUUCUGGGACCAUGAAAGUUUCUAUAUCCUCCUUUCACUUAGUUUGUUACCAUUCAUGCUCUGCAUUGGUGAAGAAAUAUAGAAAGGUAUGUAUUGGCCAAUACUGAGAUAUAUAACCCUAACAAACAAGAAAAGAACUCUGGGGAGUAGAAGGAGGAAAGGUAGGGAAUGGGGAAGAG